This 528-nucleotide ribosomal RNA is filed under the name uncultured bacterium. RNAcentral's name for it is "bacterial SSU rRNA". It matches the Rfam family "Bacterial small subunit ribosomal RNA", at positions 8 to 526 of the family's 1533-position model. The record is from RNAcentral.
AGAGUUUGAUCCUGGCUCAGGACGAACGCUGGCGGCGUGCUUAACACAUGCAAGUCGAGCGAGAGCCUGGGGGCUUGCCCCCAGGGGACAGCGGCGAACGGGUGCGUAACACGUGGGCAACCUGCCCCUCUCUCUGGGAUAACCCCGGGAAACCGGAGCUAAUACCGGAUACUCCGGCUGGAUCGCAUGGUCCGGCUGGGAAAGGUCCGCCGGAGAGGGAUGGGCCCGCGGCCUAUCAGCUUGUUGGUGGGGUCAUGGCUCACCAAGGCGACGACGGGUAGCUGGUCUGAGAGGACGACCAGCCACACUGGAACUGAGAUACGGUCCAGACUCCUACGGGAGGCAGCAGUGGGGAAUAUUGCGCAAUGGGCGAAAGCCUGACGCAGCGACGCCGCGUGGGGGAAGACGGCCUUCGGGUUGUAAACCCCUUUCAGUUGGGACGAAGCUUCGCCGGUGAAUAGCCGGCUGGAGUGACGGUACCUUCACAAGAAGCCCCGGCUAACUACGUGCCAGCAGCGGCGGUAAUUC